This 300-nucleotide ribosomal RNA is filed under the name uncultured Azospirillum sp. RNAcentral describes it as "partial 16S ribosomal RNA". It matches the Rfam family "Bacterial small subunit ribosomal RNA", at positions 496 to 795 of the family's 1533-position model. Lineage: Bacteria; Pseudomonadati; Pseudomonadota; Alphaproteobacteria; Rhodospirillales; Azospirillaceae. The record is from RNAcentral.
GCGAAGUGCGGGGCAGCAGCAGGUGUAAUACGGAGGGGGGUGGCGUUGGCCGGAAGUAGUGUGCGUAAAGGUGACGUAGGCGGCUUGGUAAGGCAGGGGUGAAAGCCCGGGGCGUAACCUCAGACCGGCCUUUGAAACUGGGAAGCUUGAGUUCGGGAGAGGGGAGUGGAACUCCGAGUGUAGAAGUGAAAUUCGUAGAUAUCGGGAGGAACACCAGUGGCGAAGGCGGCUAACUGGGCCGAUACUGACGCUGAGGUGCGAAAGCUGGGGGAGCAAACAGGAUUAGAUACCCCGGUAGUC